GAUGAACGCUGGCGGCGUGCCUAAUACAUGCAAGUCGAGCGAACGGACGAGAAGCUUGCUUCUCUGAUGUUAGCGGCGGACGUGUGAGUAACACGUGGAUAACCUACCUAUAAGACUUGGAUAACUUCGGGAAACCUUAGCUAAUACCGGAUAAUAUUUUGAACCGCAUGGUUCAAAAGUUAAAGACGGUCUUGCUGUCACUUAUAGAUGGAUCCGCGCUGCAUUAGCUAGUUGGUAAGGUAACGGCUUACCAAGGCAACGAUGCAUAGCCGACCUGAGAGGGUGAUCGGCCACACUGGAACUGAGACACGGACCAGACUACGACGGGAGGCAGCAGUAGGGAAUCUUCCGCAAUGGGCGAAAGCAUGACGGAGCAAAGCCGCGUGAGUGAUGAAGGUGUUAGGAUAGUAAAACUCUGUUAUUAGGGAAGAAAAUAUGUGUAAGUAACUGUGAACAUAGUGACGGUACCUAAUCAGAAAGCCACGGCUAACUACGUG
This 497-nucleotide ribosomal RNA is filed under the name uncultured bacterium. RNAcentral describes it as "partial 16S ribosomal RNA". It matches the Rfam family "Bacterial small subunit ribosomal RNA", at positions 28 to 507 of the family's 1533-position model. The record is from RNAcentral.